UACGAAGGGGGCUAGCGUUGCUCGGAAUCACUGGGCGUAAAGGGCGCGUAGGCGGCCAUUCAAGUCAGGGGUGAAAGCCUGUGGCUCAACCACAGAAUUGCCUUUGAUACUGUUUGGCUAGAGACCGGAAGAGGUAAGUGGAACUGCGAGUGUAGAGGUGAAAUUCGUAGAUAUUCGCAAGAACACCGGUGGCGAAGGCGGCUUACUGGUCCGGUUCUGACGCUGAGGCGCGAAAGCGUGGGGAGCAAACAGG
Molecule: ribosomal RNA, 253 nt
Filed under: uncultured bacterium
Lineage: Bacteria
Description: partial 16S ribosomal RNA
Rfam family: Bacterial small subunit ribosomal RNA
Source: RNAcentral